Molecule: ribosomal RNA, 335 nt
Filed under: uncultured soil bacterium
Lineage: Bacteria
Description: bacterial SSU rRNA
Rfam family: Bacterial small subunit ribosomal RNA
Source: RNAcentral
AGAUUGAACGCUGGCGGCAGGCCUAACACGUGCAAGUCGAGCGGUAGAGAGGUGCUUGCACCUCUUGAGAGCGGCGGACGGGUGAGUAAUGCCUAGGAAUCUGCCUAGUGGUGGGGGAUAACGUUCGGAAACGGACGCUAAUACCGCAUACGUCCUACGGGAGAAAGCGGGGGACCUUCGGGCCUCGCGCCAUUAGAUGAGCCUAGGUCGGAUUAGCUUAGUUGGUGAGGUAAUGGCUCACCAAGGCGACGAUCCGUAACUGGUCUGAGAGGAUGAUCAGUCACACUGGAACUGAGACACGGUCCAGACUCCUACGGGAGGCAGCAGUGGGAAUA